GACGAACGCUGGCGGCGUGCUUAACACAUGCAAGUCGAGCGGUAAGGCCCUUUCGGGGGUACACGAGCGGCGAACGGGUGAGUAACACGUGGGUGACCUGCCCUCAGCUCUGGGAUAAGCCUGGGAAACCGGGUCUAAUACUGGAUAUGACUCCAUGACGCAUGUUGUGGGGUGGAAAGCCUUGUGCGGCUGAGGAUGGGCCCGCGGCCUAUCAGCUUGUUGGUGGGGUGANGGCCUACCAAGGCGACGACGGGUAGCCGGCCUGAGAGGGCGGACGGCCACACUGGGACUGAGACACGGCCCAGACUCCUACGGGAGGCAGCA
Molecule: ribosomal RNA, 324 nt
Filed under: uncultured bacterium
Lineage: Bacteria
Description: bacterial SSU rRNA
Rfam family: Bacterial small subunit ribosomal RNA
Source: RNAcentral